This 449-nucleotide ribosomal RNA is filed under the name uncultured bacterium. Its description in RNAcentral is "partial 16S ribosomal RNA". It matches the Rfam family "Bacterial small subunit ribosomal RNA", at positions 328 to 794 of the family's 1533-position model. The record is from RNAcentral.
AUGCCAGACUCCUACGGGAGGCAGCAGUGGGGAAUAUUGCACAAUGGGGGGAACCCUGAUGCAGCGACGCCGCGUGGGUGAAGGAGCACCUCGGUGCGUAAAGCCCUAUCGGCAGGGAAGAAACAGACGGUACCUGACUAAGAAGCCCCGGCUAAAUACGUGCCAGCAGCCGCGGUAAUACGUAUGGAGCAAGCGUUAUCCGGAUUUACUGGGUGUAAAGGGAGCGCAGGCGGCCUUGCAAGUCUGAUGUGAAAGGCCGGGGCCCAACCCCGGGACUGCUCUGGAAACUGCGGCGCUGGAGUACGGGAGGGGCAGGCGGAAUUCCUGGUGUAGCGGUGAAAUGCGUAGAUAUCAGGAGGAACACCGGUGGCGAAGGCGGCCUGCUGGACUGCGACUGACGUUGAGGCCCGAAAGCGUGGGGAGCAAACAGGAUUAGAUACCCGCGUAAC